GCUGGCGUGCUCUUCCUCAGAGGCAUGUUUAUGAAACAGAAGUUCUGGUGGAUUUUAAAGGUGUUUUCCAUUUUGUGUUAGAGAGUGACAUUUUUUUUCUAUGAGAGAAAAGAAAUCUUUCAGAGAAGGACAACUCUACCUAAACUGUCUAAUUUGCUCCAUGCUAGACCUAAGGUGGUAUGUGAUGGUGAAAUUGAAGCACAUGAAGAACAGGACCCAAAGAAGCUGUCUCUGGUUCAGGGGUUUAUCUUGAUUGAGCUUCCGUAAGGAAUGUCAUGCAUCAUCACCUUGAAUCACUUCCUGCAGACUCAACCUAUAAUCAACAAGCACAGGCUCCCUAGCAUAUCAAUCACAGGUUGAUCCAAGUCUGAACUUUACUGAUUUCCAGUCUAUCAUCAUUGUAAUUUCCCUCAAGAGAGAAAUCCUAUUCAGCUGCGAUGGAAAAUAGAACUCUUGGAGAAUGCUAACAAAAUAUUCAAAAAUAUGGUUCGUAAGAGUUACUGAAUG
Molecule: long non-coding RNA, 507 nt
Organism: Mauremys reevesii (Reeves's turtle)
Lineage: Eukaryota; Metazoa; Chordata; Testudines; Geoemydidae
Exons: 4
Source: RefSeq, a predicted model, not a curated record